Molecule: non-coding RNA, 45 nt
Filed under: Trichobilharzia regenti
Lineage: Eukaryota; Metazoa; Platyhelminthes; Trematoda; Strigeidida; Schistosomatidae
Source: RNAcentral
AUCCAGAUGACGAGACCCAAAUAGGACGAAAUGCGCAUCCUGGAU